This 120-nucleotide ribosomal RNA is filed under the name Pteropus alecto (black flying fox). Lineage: Eukaryota; Metazoa; Chordata; Mammalia; Chiroptera; Pteropodidae. The record is from RNAcentral.
GUCGACAGCCAUGCCACCCUGAACAAGCCCGAUCCUGUCUGAUCUCGGAAGCUAAGCAAGGUCGGGCCUGGUUAGUACUUGGAUGGGAGACCACCUAGGAAAACCGUGUAGGCGUAAAAA